AAUGAGGACGGAUUUGACUGCUUGCAACCUCUUUAAAAAAAAUGCUAAAACUU
This 53-nucleotide non-coding RNA is filed under the name bovine gut metagenome. The record is from RNAcentral.